This 350-nucleotide transfer-messenger RNA is filed under the name Lachnospiraceae. RNAcentral describes it as "CAG-95 sp900066375 Standard tmRNA". It matches the Rfam family "transfer-messenger RNA". Rfam says of the family: Bacterial tmRNA, also known as 10Sa RNA or SsrA, is named for its dual tRNA and mRNA-like properties. Its role is to liberate the mRNA from a stalled ribosome. The record is from RNAcentral. RNAcentral also lists the same sequence under 3 other names. Lineage: Bacteria; Bacillati; Bacillota; Clostridia; Lachnospirales.
GGGUUAGUAAAGGUUUCGACAGGGAUCUUGCAGCUGGAGAAGCUAUCCGCAGGCGAUGCGUCAAAUCGCAACAUUAAAUACAAACGCUGAAGAUAAUUUAGCAUACGCUGCCUAAUGGCAGCUGUCCGCUUUAGUGCACCUACACAUUAAAAUCCGGGCAUCGACUAUGUAGGAAACGACACAGGCUAAGCUUUGCACCUGUGGGCGUAUCAUGAAGCUACUGAACGGAUAUGGGUGUCGGUUUCCAGAUCCGGGAGGGAAUGAGGGGUUUCCCGAAAUGAUCGACUAUGAUAGUAGAAGGACAGGGAAUGGGUCUUUGGACGCGGGUUCGACUCCCGCCUAAUCCACUA